Ribosomal RNA from Vulpes vulpes (red fox), 110 nucleotides. The record is from Ensembl. Lineage: Eukaryota; Metazoa; Chordata; Mammalia; Carnivora; Canidae.
UUUCUAGGCCAAACCACCCUGAACAUGCCCAAUAUUGUCUGAUCUCAGAACUUAAGCAGGGUUGGGCCUGGUUAGUACUUGGAUGGGAAAAUUCCAAGAGAUCUUCAUAA